GAUGAACGCUGGCGGCGUGCCUAACACAUGCAAGUCGAACGGAGUUGUCACCAUGAAGUUUUCGGAUGGAAUGGAGGCAACUUAGUGGCGGACGGGUGAGUAACGCGUGGGUAACCUGCCUCAUACUGGGGGAUAACAGCUGGAAACGGCUGCUAAAACCGCAUAAGAUCGCAUCACCGCAUGGUGAGGCGGUUAAAUAUCGAAAGAUAGGUAUGAGAUGGGCCCGCGUCUGAUUAGCUAGUUGGUGAGAUAAGAGCCCACCAAGGCGACGAUCAGUAGCCGGCUUGAGAGAGUGACCGGCCACAUUGGGACUGAGACACGGCCCAAACUCCUACGGGAGGCAGCAGUGGGGAAUAUUGCACAAUGGGGGAAACCCUGAUGCAGCGACGCCGCGUGAGUGAAGAAGUGCUUCGGCAUGUAAAGCUCUAUCAGCAGGGAAGAAGAUGACGGUACCUGACUAAGAAGCCCCGGCUAACCU
This 478-nucleotide ribosomal RNA is filed under the name uncultured bacterium. Its description in RNAcentral is "bacterial SSU rRNA". It matches the Rfam family "Bacterial small subunit ribosomal RNA", at positions 28 to 503 of the family's 1533-position model. The record is from RNAcentral.